Molecule: long non-coding RNA, 646 nt
Organism: Leptopilina boulardi
Lineage: Eukaryota; Metazoa; Arthropoda; Insecta; Hymenoptera; Figitidae
Exons: 5
Source: RefSeq, a predicted model, not a curated record
AUAACAACAUACGAAUUCAUCAAAAAAUGAGAGCGGUUUUCAAAUUAUCCUUCACAAGGAAUGUGUCUACACAUGGAGUAAAAAAUGGGUGAUGAAAAACAGCUUCUCUCGGGAGUGAUGCGUUCAAGUCUUUUAAUUCGCGCGAACGAAAAAAUAUAUUUAAAAAUUUUUUUCUAUUGUAAUUUUAGAAUUCGCUUUUCUUUCGGGAGUGUUCAAAAUUUUUAAAAUCGCGAUCGCUUUAAUAUUUUAAUAGAAAAAGUGUAUAUUUUUAUUUUUUAAUAUCAAAAAUACAUGAUUUCGGGAGUGUUCGAAUUUUUUUAACUCAUCAUCUGAAAUGGAUUCGCAUCGAUUAUAGAGGCUAAGGCUUAACGUGAUUUCGGAAAGGAGAGUGGUUAUAUUAUAUACCAUGGGUAUAGUGGCACCUCAAGCUACGACAGAUCUCGAAAACAGAAAAAUGGUGAAAAAAAAGGAGGCGCAUAUAUAGAGAUAAUGGUGCAAAUGGGCACAACGUCUAUCACCUCUGACUAGUCGAUGAAGAAGAAAAUACCAAAGAACGACGGUCAAUCGACAAUCGUUUCAACGAAGGAAAUAAAAGUCAAUUCUUCAAGUGCUAUAUAAAUGAGAGAAGUCACAACGAGAAUGAGAG